RNAcentral lists this ribosomal RNA (301 nucleotides) under uncultured bacterium. RNAcentral describes it as "partial 16S ribosomal RNA". It matches the Rfam family "Bacterial small subunit ribosomal RNA", at positions 509 to 809 of the family's 1533-position model. The record is from RNAcentral.
CAGUCGCCGCGGUAAUACGAAGGGGGCUAGCGUUGUUCGGAUUUACUGGGCGUAAAGCGCACGUAGGCGGGCUUUUAAGUCAGGGGUGAAAUCCCGGGGCUCAACCCCGGAACUGCCUUUGAUACUGGAAGUCUUGAGUAUGGAAGAGGUGAGUGGAAUUCCGAGUGUAGAGGUGAAAUUCGUAGAUAUUCGGAGGAACACCAGUGGCGAAGGCGGCUCACUGGUCCAUUACUGACGCUGAGGUGCGAAAGCGUGGGGAGCAAACAGGAUUAGAUACCCGUGUAGUCCCUGUCUCUUAUAA